This 481-nucleotide ribosomal RNA is filed under the name uncultured bacterium. RNAcentral's name for it is "SSU rRNA". It matches the Rfam family "Bacterial small subunit ribosomal RNA", at positions 27 to 518 of the family's 1533-position model. The record is from RNAcentral.
GGGACGAACGCUGGCGGCGUGCCUAAUACAUGCAAGUCUAAGGGGUUCGGUUCCUUCGGGGAUCGGAUCACUGGCGCACGGGUGAGUAACACGUAAGUCAUCUGCCCCUGGGUCUGGCAUAACGUCGGGAAACCGGCGCUAAUACCAGAUGAUAUCGCAAGAUCAAAGUUUUCGAGCGCCCAGGGAUGAGCUUGCGUCUGAUUAGCUAGUUGGCGGGGUAACGGCCCACCAAGGCGACGAUCAGUAGCCGGUCUGAGAGGAUGAUCGGCCACAUUGGGACUGAGACACGGCCCAGACUCCUACGGGAGGCAGCAGUAAGGAAUAUUGCGCAAUGGAGGAAACUCUGACGCAGCAACGCCGCGUGUAGGAUGAAGGCCCUUCGGGUCGUAAACUACUGUAGCGAGGGGAAUAACGGUCCGCCGUGGGUGGACAGUGAAGGUACCCUGAAAGUAGCGCCGGCUAACUACGUGCCAGCAGCCGC